UGGACUUGGGCAUCCCAACACUUUGCACCCUUUUCUUAUUCUUCUUCUCUUUCUUAAAGGGUCGACGUCCAGAAGAAGACCCUCCCACUACAUUCACUAACUACUUAUAAAGCUGAUGAUUCUUCUCAAAGUUUUACAGUAAUCCCAACAAAUUAUGGUAAUUGACUAUAUAGGCUUUGUCUUUCAAAAAUGAGUAAGGAAAGGGAGGUAGGACUUGCGCAGAG
This 224-nucleotide long non-coding RNA is filed under the name Elaeis guineensis (African oil palm). RNAcentral describes it as "long non-coding RNA (EGUI_LNC063502)". The record is from RNAcentral. Lineage: Eukaryota; Viridiplantae; Streptophyta; Magnoliopsida; Arecales; Arecaceae.